This 540-nucleotide long non-coding RNA is filed under the name Lactuca sativa (garden lettuce). RNAcentral describes it as "long non-coding RNA (LSAT_LNC007219)". Lineage: Eukaryota; Viridiplantae; Streptophyta; Magnoliopsida; Asterales; Asteraceae. The record is from RNAcentral.
AUAAACUACAAACACAUUCCAACUAUAAGAAGCUAAAGCAUUAAAAAUGGCUUCAAGAGCUUUGGUAACAACUGCUUUUCUCCUUACGUUAAAUCUUCUUUUCUUCACUCUAGUAUCCUCUACUAGUACCCCAAAAGGCUGCCCACCUCCACCAAAACCACCAUCACCAGGGUGCCACUGCACAUCACCACCAAAACCUCCAACUCCUUCAAAACCUUCAACACCUUCAAAACCUCCAACCCCUUCAAAACCUUCAACACCUACAACACCUUCAAACCCUCCCAAAGCCACUUGCCCAAAAGACACUCUUAAAUUGGCUGUGUGUGCUAAUUUGCUCAACAACCUUCUCCCCAUAGUCAUUGGAAGCCCAUCAAAGACACCAUGUUGUUCCCUCCUUUCUGGCCUCGCAGAUCUUGAUGCUGCAGUCUGUCUUUGCACUGCCAUUAAAGCUAAUGUCUUGGGAAUCAACCUCAACGUUCCUGUUUCAUUGAGCGUGUUGCUUAACUACUGUGGAAAGAAGUCCCCAUCCGGCUUCCAAUG